This 27-nucleotide non-coding RNA is filed under the name Rattus norvegicus (Norway rat). Lineage: Eukaryota; Metazoa; Chordata; Mammalia; Rodentia; Muridae. The record is from RNAcentral.
UAGUAUGAGUGCUGUACACAGUAAGUG